RNAcentral lists this ribosomal RNA (497 nucleotides) under uncultured Glomeromycotina. RNAcentral describes it as "partial small subunit ribosomal RNA". It matches the Rfam family "Eukaryotic small subunit ribosomal RNA", at positions 591 to 1092 of the family's 1831-position model. Lineage: Eukaryota; Fungi; Glomeromycota. The record is from RNAcentral.
CCAAUAGCGUAUAUUAAAGUUGUUGCAGUUAAAAAGCUCGUAGUUGAAUUUCGGGAUUAGUACGCUGGUCGUGCCUUCGGUACGUACUGGUGUUACUGAUUUCUACCUUCUGACGAACCAUCAUGUCAUUAAUUUGGUGUGGUGGGGAAUCAGGACUGUUACUUUGAAAAAAUUAGAGUGUUUAAAGCAGGCUCGCGCUUGAAUACAUUAGCAUGGAAUAAUGAAAUAGGACGUUGAUCCUAUUUUGUUGGUUUCUAGGAUUGACGUAAUGAUUAAUAGGGAUAGUUGGGGGCAUUAGUAUUCAAUUGUCAGAGGUGAAAUUCUUGGACUUAUUGAAGACUAACUACUGCGAAAGCAUUUGCCAAGGAUGUUUUCAUUAAUCAAGAACGAAAGUUAGGGGAUCGAAGACGAUCAGAUACCGUCGUAGUCUUAACCAUAAACUAUGCCGACUAGGGAUCGGAUGAUGUUAUUUUUAAUGACUCAUUCGGCGCCUUACG